This 216-nucleotide ribosomal RNA is filed under the name Glomeromycotina sp. RNAcentral's name for it is "partial small subunit ribosomal RNA". The stretch from base 40 to 216 matches the Rfam family "Eukaryotic small subunit ribosomal RNA", at positions 686 to 864 of the family's 1831-position model. The record is from RNAcentral. Lineage: Eukaryota; Fungi; Glomeromycota.
GGGUCAGUAGGUUGGUCGUGCCACCGGUACGUACUGGUCUCACUGAUUCCUCCUUCCUGAAGAACCGUAAUGCCAUUAAUUUGGUGUUGCGGGGAAACAGGACUGUUACUUUGAAAAAAUUAGGGUGCUUAAAGCAAGCUAACGCUUGAAUACAUUAGCAUGGAAUAAUGAAAUAGGACGAUCGAUCCUAUUUUGUUGGUUUCUAGGAUUGACGUA